CUAAGCUUAUGAGUUGUGGUCUGAGUUCAUCAUAUAUGUUACACAUGUUUUGGCGUUUCGGAUACUAGUCUUGUAUGUUCUACCGGUGGCUGGUACUCCAGCAUGUGUUACAGAUACCUAACAGCUUGUGUGAGUAGCAGUGUAGCUACAUCUUGACCGAUAGUUUGUGUGAGCAAACCUAUGAGUAGCUCAAAAGUGAGCAACAUGUGAUAUGUGAUAUGAGGUAGCGUUGGCUACAUAUGAGGCACUUAGGUGCGAGAUUCCGAUGUAUCCAAUGGUAUUCCAAGCGUUC
RNAcentral lists this long non-coding RNA (292 nucleotides) under Gossypium barbadense (sea-island cotton). RNAcentral's name for it is "long non-coding RNA (GBAR_LNC003014)". Lineage: Eukaryota; Viridiplantae; Streptophyta; Magnoliopsida; Malvales; Malvaceae. The record is from RNAcentral.